AGAGUUAAAAAGUACGUGAAAUUGUUAAAAGGGAAACGAUUGAAAUCAGUGUUGACUAUGUUAAAUCAUCCGUUCAGUAAUGAGCGGUGCAAUUUAGCAUAGUCAGGUCAACAUCAGUUUCGGGCGAGGUAAAUUAGCUCAGGAAGGUGGCUCUCUCGGGAGCGUUAUAGCCUGUGUGAGUACCUCGUGUGGGACUGAGGAAUGCAGCACAUGCCUUUGGCUGGCGAAUCAGGCGCUAAGUCCUUUCAAUUCAUCAACAGCUUGCUGAUGCUGGGUUGCGAGGGCUUACACGCUUGACUAGUACAAAUGUGCUCAGGAUGUUGACGAAAUGGUUUUAAACGACC
RNAcentral lists this ribosomal RNA (344 nucleotides) under uncultured fungus. RNAcentral describes it as "eukaryotic LSU rRNA". It matches the Rfam family "Eukaryotic large subunit ribosomal RNA", at positions 384 to 649 of the family's 3401-position model. Lineage: Eukaryota; Fungi. The record is from RNAcentral.